AGCCAGACUCCUACGGGAGGCAGCAGUGGGGAAUAUUGCACAAUGGGGGAAACCCUGAUGCAGCGACGCCGCGUGAGUGAAGAAGUAUUUCGGUAUGUAAAGCUCUCUCAGCAGGGAAGAAAAUGACGGUACCUGAUUAAGAAGCCCCGGCUAACUACGUGCCAGCAGCCGCGGUAAUACGUAGGGGGCAAGCGUUAUCCGGAUUUACUGGGUGUAAAGGGAGCGUAGACGGCAGGGCAAGUCUGAAGUGAAAGCCCGGGGCCCAACCCCGGGACUGCUUUGGAAACUGUGAAGCUGGAGUGCGGGAGGGGCAGGCGGAAUUCCUGGUGUAGCGGUGAAAUGCGUAGAUAUCAGGAGGAACACCGGCGGCGAAGGCGGCCUGCUGGACCGUAACUGACGUUGAGGCUCGAAAGCGUGGGGAGCAAACAGGAUUAGAUACCCGCGUACU
This 448-nucleotide ribosomal RNA is filed under the name uncultured bacterium. RNAcentral's name for it is "bacterial SSU rRNA". It matches the Rfam family "Bacterial small subunit ribosomal RNA", at positions 329 to 794 of the family's 1533-position model. The record is from RNAcentral.